Molecule: long non-coding RNA, 1082 nt
Filed under: Marmota monax (woodchuck)
Lineage: Eukaryota; Metazoa; Chordata; Mammalia; Rodentia; Sciuridae
Source: RNAcentral
CAGACAUAAGCCAGGACCCUCCCAGGCAUACUGGGUGGUGACAUUCUAUUAACUGAACAUUUAAAGUAUAACUAACUCGUCUCUAUAUUAUUUGGAAACUUAAAUCCAUUGGGGGCACAGACAUGUAAGUGUAUGUAAAACAGUUAUAAAUGCCAUAGUGAAGAUAUAAUAGAAGCACUGCGUGUCCUCAGGGAAGUCAAUGGAAGCUUUCCAGGGGAGAUAAACUGAGGUUCACUAUGCAGCAUGAUGCCUGGAAGGGUAUCCUAGCAUGUGCAGAGACUUAUCUUAAAGGGGGCUUUAUUAAUGUGAGGCUUUGGCUGGUUGUGGAAGCAUGAUUGCUCUUUUAUUAUCAUUCUUGAAAUCAUACAUUUCUUACACAUUCUCUUGCAUGUAUGAGCCAGUUAUAUACUUAUGUAUAAAAGCUGGCUGGGGAGAAACUAACAUGGAUCAUUUUGGAGGGAAAACAAAUGGCAAGUUAAACACAAAACAGCACAUUGUUUUGAAAAAUUUCAAGAAUUGACAUGAAUGGAAUAUAGUGAUAUAGAUAUACAGACGGAAAGCAAGCUUAGGCCAAAUAAGGAGGGCUUUGAAUACUAAGAUCCCAUAUUUGGGACCUUGUCUUGAGACAGAUUAAUUUGGGAGUGACAUAUCCAGAUUUAUAUUUUGGAUUAAUUUUGGUAGCAGUGUGAGAGAUUGAGGGUGAAACCUGGGCAAGAGGAUCUGAAUCACAACAGCAGUUAUAAGCAUGGGUGGAAAUUUAAAAAUAUUUUUCCUGUGGAGGUCAGUGAACUUUAUUGUGUCUUUAUGGAGAUUUGGCUCUGCCACUUAUUAGACCUUGUCAUUUGUCGGUGGUACAUACCUGUAAUCCCAGUGGUACACUCCCAGUGACUGGGGAAACUGAGGCAGGAGGAUUGCAAGUUCAAGUCCAACUUCAAAAACUUAAAAAACAAUGAGAGACUAUGUGAAAAAAAAAUAUGGUGUUUCUCAGUUAAUAUGUAUUGGGCACUUAUUCCCUUCAGGGACUAUGCUUGUAUUAGAGAGUUCGUAGAGAAUGAAGAUUGGUGUCCUCUGGGAGCUCCUGG